ACUUCCUUCGGCGAUAUAUACGCUAAAAUGGGAAACGUGAAGAGUAAUUUUUGCAUGGACCCUGCGCAAGGAUGACACGCAAAAUAAAUAAAAAAGUGGGUAGUGUUU
Schistocerca nitens (vagrant locust) is the source of this 108-nucleotide small nuclear RNA. Lineage: Eukaryota; Metazoa; Arthropoda; Insecta; Orthoptera; Acrididae. The record is from RefSeq and is a predicted model, not a curated record.